Molecule: ribosomal RNA, 1002 nt
Filed under: uncultured bacterium
Lineage: Bacteria
Description: bacterial SSU rRNA
Rfam family: Bacterial small subunit ribosomal RNA
Source: RNAcentral
AGAGUUUGAUCCUGGCUCAGAACGAACGUUAGCGGCGCGCUUAACACAUGCAAGUCGCACGAGAAAGGGCUUCGGCCCCGGUAAAGUGGCGCACGGGUGAGUAACACGUGGGUAAUCUUCCCUCGAGCGGGGGAUAACAUUCCGAAAGGAGUGCUAAUACCGCAUAAGACCCCGUCCUCGAAAGAGGAUGAGGUAAAAGCUGGCCUCUAUACAUAAGCUAGCACUUGAGGAUGAGCCCGCGGCCCAUCAGGCAGUUGGCAGGGUAACGGCCUACCAAACCUAAGACGGGUAGCUGGUCUGAGAGGAUGAUCAGCCACACUGGAGCUGACACACGGUCCAGACUCCUACGGGAGGCAGCAGUGGGGAAUCUUGCGCAAUGGACGAAAGUCUGACGCAGCGACGCCGCGUGGGUGAUGAAGGCCUUCGGGUUGUAAAGCCCUGUGGGGCGGGACGAAUAAGUGCAGCCUAAUACGUUGCAUGAUGACGGUACCGCCUUAGCAAGCACCGGCUAACUCUGUGCCAGCAGCCGCGGUAAGACAGAGGGUGCAAACGUUGUUCGGAAUUACUGGGCGUAAAGCGUGUGUAGGCGGCCAUGCAAGUCGGAUGUGAAAGCCCCAGGCUUAACCUGGGAAGUGCACCCGAAACUGCAUGGCUCGAGUAUCGGAGAGGUUGGUGGAAUUCUCGGUGUAGAGGUGAAAUUCGUAGAUAUCGAGAGGAACACCGGUGGCGAAGGCGGCCAACUGGACGAAUACUGACGCUGAGACACGAAAGCGUGGGGAGCAAACAGGAUUAGAUACCCUGGUAGUCCACGCCGUAAACGAUGCAUAUUUGGUGUAGGUCAUUCAGUUGAUCUGUGCCGGAGCUAACGCGUUAAAUAUGCCGCUUGGGGAGUACAGUCGCAAGGCUGAAACUCAAAGGAAUUGACGGGGGCCCGCACAAGCGGUGGAGCAUGUGCAUUAAUUCGUCACUAACCGAAGAACCUUACCAGGGUUUGACAUCCGC